Molecule: ribosomal RNA, 109 nt
Filed under: Mesonia hippocampi
Lineage: Bacteria; Pseudomonadati; Bacteroidota; Flavobacteriia; Flavobacteriales; Flavobacteriaceae
Source: RNAcentral
UAAGGUGGUUAUAACGACGGGGCUCACCUCUUACCAUUCCGAACAGAGAAGUUAAGCCCGUUAGUGCCGAUGGUACUGCGUAUUGUGGGAGAGUAGGUCGCCGCCUUCU